AAAGGGUUUUUUUUAUGGUUUAUGAGUAGUUACUAGUUACUUCUUCGGACUCAGAAUUACGAGCUAAGCAAUUGAUCACCAUCCACGGCGGUGCUCCGACGAUCGAGCUGAGAAUUUCACGUCGUUCGAAAGCGGAGCUCCGAGGGCAACCUGUAAAGGAGAAAGAAAAUGGCGGGAGCGUUAGUUGGUGGCGCGGCAUUGGGUGUUCCAUUCAACGAGCUAGCAACCAUCUUGAAGAAUUUUGGCGAAAGGGCGAUCAGUUUCGAUCCUGUUCUCAAGGAGACUCAAUCCAAGGUAAAUGAUAUAAUUCCUCUACUUAAAGAGAUAGAUGAUCUUAAUGAGGCCCUGGAGUAUCCAAAAGAAGAAAUGGAGACGUUGAGAAAUCUAUUAGAAGUUGCUAAAAAGCUACUUCUUCGGUGUCUAAGAUUGAAGAAGCUUGAUUAUAUAAGGAAAUCAACUCACACAGAAAAGCUUCGUGAUUUGAAUACCAAAAUUGGAAGUUUCAAGGACGUUUUGUUGAUGCAAAUGGCUAGAGACGGGAAGAAGACAUUGAAGAUAGCGUCUGAAAUCAAGGACGUCGUUCUCAGGCUUGAUAGCAAGUUUGGAUUAAGCAAUACGGUGGAUUUAAUUGUGAAGGUUCCUGAGAUUACAGAAGAAAGUGUUGGAUUGGAAAAACCAGUUGAGAAAUUGAAGGCGAAACUUUUCAGAGAUGGGGUUCGAUUGUUGGUAGUGACAGCUCCCGGGGGUUGUGGAAAAAGCACUCUGGCUGUAAGAUUUUGUCACGACAAGCAAGUUAAAAAUAAAUUCCAGAGGAACAUCUUUUUCCUCACUGUUUCAAGCAAACCAGAUACGAAACUCAUCUUAAAAUCUAUAAUCCAAAGCCUCGGGAGGUCUGUAGUAUCUGAUUCUGUGAGGGACGAUGAGGCAUUCCGGUGUUUAGAACUACUGCUGGGGCAAAUGAGUCCAAAUCCUGUAUUGAUUGUGUUGGACGAUGUCUGGGAAGGUUCCGAAUCAAAUAAGCUUCUUGAAAAGUUCUCUCGAAUGCCUAACUGCAAAAUUUUGGUGACCUCUAGAUUCAAGUUUCCUGCAUUUGGUGAGUCAUAUGAUUUGGAACUUUUGGACCAUAAGGAUGCAAAGGAGCUGUUUCAUCGCUCGGCAUCGCUGGAUAACAGAAUGCCACAGUUCCCAGAUGAACAAAUUGUGGAAAAGAUAGUGAGGGGUUGUAAGAGAUUCCCACUUGCUCUGAAAGUGAUUGCAAGAUCACUUUCGGGCAGAGCUGCUUCAGUUUGGAAAGUUCAAGAGAGGAAAUUAUCUAGAGGAGAUUCUAUUCUGGGUUCGGAGAAAGAGCUUCUGGAAUGCCUCAAAGGCACCUUAGAUGCAGUCCCAGAUGACAAGAUGGUACUGAAGGAGUGUUUCAUGGAUUUAGGUUCAUUUCCUGAAGACCAGAGAAUUCGUGUGGCUACCUUCAUUGACAUUUGUGCAGUGUUGUAUGAACAAGAUGAAUGUGAAACAAUGUCAAACCUUGACGAGCUCUUCACCCGGACUUUAGUCAACACUAUCUCUUUGAGAAAUGAAGCACAUCAAGACGAUUACUACAGCGAGUCCUAUAUUACACAGCAUGACAUGCUUAGAGAGUUGGCUGUCCAUUUGACUAAUGAGCAGCUAAUAGUCGAAAGGACAAGAUUGCUUGUGGAUAUUAACAGAAAUGAAUUUCCCAAAUGGUGGUCUGAAAAAAAGACGCAACCUAUGAAAGCCCGCCUUUUGUCCAUAACAACAGAUGAGAUGUUCUCAUCAUGUUGGCCUGACAUGGAAGCACCUGAAGUUGAGGUGUUAAUUCUAAAUCCUGGGUCAAAAACUUACAACUUGCCCGAUUUCAUGAAGAGAAUGAACAGAUUGAAAGCUCUGAUAGUCAGGAAUUACAGGUCCUUUCCAACUGAAUUGACAAGUGAUUAUCAACUAAUCAACUGUUUGUCAAGGUUAGAAAGAAUCAGUCUUGAGCGAAUUUCCAUUCCUUCUUUUAGUGACGAGAACCUGAAACCACUGUUUCAUCUUAAGAAGCUAUCGUUCUUUAUGUGCAAAAUUGAUAAAGCUUUUACGAACUGUUCAACCCAGAUCUCAUCCGUGUUGCCUAACUUGCUUGAAAUUUCCAUAGAUUUUUGCAAUGAUUUGGUGGCCCUCCCUGUUGGACUAUGUGAAAUUAUCACAUUGGAGAAACUGACCAUUACAAACUGUCACGGAUUAUCUUCAUUACCCGAGGAAAUUGGGCAGUUAAUUAAUCUAAAAACUCUAAGGCUUAGAUCUUGUAUUCAUUUGGAGAAGUUGCCAGAAUCAGUCUCAAGGCUCCGAGAAUUGAUGGAUCUUGACAUAUCUCAUUGUGUUGGCCUUACCAAACUUCCAGAUAAGAUUGGCAACUUGCAGAAGUUGGAAAAGCUUUAUAUGUGGAGUUGUCCGAUCAUGCACAAGCUUCCACCAUCACUAAGAAAUCUAAAAAACUUGAAGAAAGUAGUUUGUGAAGGGGAGAUAGCAAAAUGGGUAAAUAUUGUCUCACCUCGGCUUCGCAAUGUGGUAAAAGAACACCAAGAAGAAGUCAACUUGGAUUGGCUAUUAGCAUGACAGCUUCUUAUAGAGCUUUUUAAGGACAAACAAAAUCUCGGUACAGUAAUCAUCCUUGCAAUACCUGUACAUGGAAUUCUCAAAAUUGAAAUCGAACCCAGUUGUUCAUUUUCUUUCUUUGAUUCCUAAUGGGAUGGUUGACUUUGCAGAAAAAGAGAGGUGGAAUUUGUUUAAGAGCCAUUGAGUGCUAGAAUUAAGAAGGACCAUAUAUACCAAUCCACGCUGUUGGAUGAUUCCGGAGUCAAAUAACUGUUUUGGUCAGGACAAGGAAAGGGUUUACUUAAUUGGAGAUGGAAUCCAGAAAAAUGAAAGUUGUCCGGCUUUGAUCCCCAAGGCAUUGCUUCAACUUCUUCGUGGAAAGAAACUUUUCUUUAUUGGUGAUUUAUGGGUGAUUGAUUCUAUGGGCAGAAAUCGUAUGGAGUCUUUUAUUUGUCUCCUGUCACAGGUCAGCUCUCUCUAGUCUCUACUUUAUAAAAUGGAAAAAAAGAAAAAAGAAAAAAGAUCGAUUAGCUCUGUCAUAUCAUGUAAAUUUGUUAUAUAUGAUUAUUUGAAGCUUAUGAUUCUUGUUAUCAUCUAUAACUAAUUCUUAUGCUGAGUAAUUUUAGGAACCAUAGCAUUUUGGAAAAUUUACAUAGCUUUAACCUCUCUUUAAAUUCAGUUAAUGGGAAAUACCAACGUUGGAGAUUUCUUUUGUUUGAGUUCAACAACUGUGGAGGUGAUGGUUGUCUUAUGUACUGAGUUAUACUUGGAUUUGUCAUUAAUGUGUUAAUUGUGGGAAAAGUAAUUCUGGUCUUUUAUGUCAUUCUAUAUCGACUAGGUUGAUUCCUGACUCCCCUUAUAAAUUUAAAUCCAUCAUUUUCUAUGCGUAAGGUUGAUUAUUGAAAAAUUCUUUCUUGAACUGGAGUCAGAUUUAAAUUACUGCACAGAUGUGUGGAAGGUAAUUCAUGUCAAGGUGAACAUGUCAAAUUAUUGGAAGCAUACUUUAGCCAAAGAAUUCCACCUGAAUCCUACUAUUAGACCUUAGUAUAGAAUGAUGUGUGAUUGCAAGUUCUCUAAGUAGUUAGUAUUUCCAUUUCUUGACCUAAUUAAGAAAAAAAUAUUGAAAAUGUUCUCUGCCACCAGUUCCACUGAAUCUGAAAGCUAUUUAGAAAAUGAACGGAAAAAAAAAAAAAAAAAUUCAUUCUGUUUCUAUAGAACUUCAAUUUCCAUUUUAGAUAUGUUCGGAAUGAUUUUAAAAGUGCUUAGAAAACACAUUUUUAACACUUAAAAUACUUUUGUAAGCACUUAGAAUGUCAUUUCAAAUGAGCCUUAGUAUGUGGUUCAUGUAGAAGCAUCUUGAAGUUGAAGAAUUUGUUCUUAAUAUCUAAAUGGAGGUUCUAGGUGGAUAGAAAAUAAUUCAUAUGCUAUCUAACCCAACUAAAAAAAUCAUCAAUACAGAACAAAACAGAGAUUGUGGGUGAAUUAGGAAGAUGAUGGAAUUUGAAAUUUUUAAACAGUGGCUUAUUUCUUCAGAAUUCAUCGGAGGGAAAAGUUAUCAAGCAAAUAAAAUUCGAACUUGUGUGGGUUCAUAUACAUGAAUUAUCUGGAAUUAGAAUCCCAAACUAAGCAACAUAUGGAUGAAACUUUGAAAUUUUUUGAGUUCAAUAACUGUAACUGUUGGCUGGCCGGAAAUCGUAUCAUCAAUCAUUAGAAUGAUAAUUGAUAUUUACUAAGAUUGAUAAUUGAUAUUUAGUUUAGAUUGACUUGAAAAUUUAAAAUUAUGUUUUACUACAUUUUUUAGCUAAAAGGGUAUCACUGAUAGUCAUAUGGCACAUAAUUGAAAUUCAUGAACGUGAACUUUUAUUUUGAUAUUAUGUUAAAUUUCCACUUGAUAAUAUUUUAAGUUGAUAAAUUAUGCCAUUAUGAUAUAACUUAUAUUUUAAUACAUUUGUUACAGUUGCUUUGUGAACUAUAUGAAAUUUUAGGUUUUAGCGAAAUGUAGGGCGAAAUUCUAACGGAAGUUAGAAGAAAUAUGCAAGGUUUUGUAUUGUGAUCUCACCAACAUGUUAAAUGAAAUUUUGGCAAUGGAUUUUGAUGCUCAUUUCAGCUCAGAAAAUCAUAUUAAAGGUACUUUCCAAUGAAUUUGAAGAAUACCAACAUAAAGAAAGGAGUAAUGGUUAAAUUUUGGGUAGUAAUGUAUUCGUUGUACGAGAUUGAAUUAUAAAUUUUAUCAUUAGCUCAUACUUUGUGUCGUUGUGUUAAGCUCACUUGGGCAUAUUAAAAAUUUACAUAAUAUCAAUACAAAAGGGAUAAAAUAUAUUUGAGUUAGAU
Non-coding RNA from Benincasa hispida (wax gourd), 4923 nucleotides. Lineage: Eukaryota; Viridiplantae; Streptophyta; Magnoliopsida; Cucurbitales; Cucurbitaceae. The record is from RefSeq and is a predicted model, not a curated record.